Hippocampus comes (tiger tail seahorse) is the source of this 1345-nucleotide non-coding RNA. The record is from the annotation of a RefSeq genome assembly. Lineage: Eukaryota; Metazoa; Chordata; Actinopteri; Syngnathiformes; Syngnathidae.
ACAACAAAAAGCGCUUUCAAAGGCAAAUUACAAGAGAACGCAGAGAAUACACAAAUGAAAUAUCACAAGUCCAAUAACAUUCAACCAAAUAUCAAGAUCGAUACAAAAUAAUCUUGAAAACGAGAUUGACUAUGAAAGGCACCGAAAGGUCACACGUUUCCUGCUUUCCUUCUCCCCGAGUGGCAGCUCUCCUACUGCAGGAAUGUCGGAGAGUAUCGGAAAGGACAGGAAGCAAGUGCACCUGCAUAUUGAGAUGAUUAUGGGCAUAUUUACUUUAUUAUUAGCUGUUAAUGAGUCUGAUUAAAAUCAAGACAAGACAAAGAUGACGUUUAAGCGAAUCACAAUGCGUUGCUCCGCCUCACAGCAACAUACGACUUCCGUUGUGCAUGUUUGAUGUCACUACUUAAGAAAGGCCGCUCCCCCUCAGCGACAAGUCAGCAUUUAUGCAGACGGCGAAUGCAGACAUGAGUCGGGCGCUUGUAUGUGCGCUGACUGCUGCUUGGAGCCUGGGAAUCAGCGGCCAGACGGUGCACCAGCCAGAACGGGAAGUCCACGCCUUCGAGGGUGGAGCAGUGACGCUCGGCUGCAGCUCCGACAGUUCGAUGUCCAGGGACUUCAUCUUCUGGUACAAACAAGAAGUGAACUCACUGCCGGACUUCAUCCUGAGCAAAGAUCUGUUCCGUUCCGGCAAGAAGGGAGUAAAGUACAGUGAAAGGUUUCACUGCAGCAUGAAUGCCAGCGCUCGGCAAGCUCCUCUGCAUAUCGAACGCGUGAAGCCCAGCGACUCGGGAGUCUUCUACUGCGCCCUGCAGCCCACGCUGACACAUUCACUGGCGUGCCUGCACAAAAACACCUGCACCCGCCUCAUCUCAUGAGUGACAUUGGGGGCGUGGCCUCACCGGAGUCCAAGACGUCUAACUGUGGCAGAGCUGCAACUCAGCGUGUCAACAGACUCAUUCCGUGCUCGAGGAUGACAUUGUCUUGUCUCGUUUUUUAAUCUGCUAUGUGGUGGGCCUCAUACUGUGUGUGCUCUUGAAUUUAUUUAAUCUGAUACUACAUGUUGAUUUCGGUUCCUCAUUUCUCUUCAGUUAUGUUGACAGUGCAGCUCAGACUUCAAUAAGGAGGCCAGCGACAACUGACGCUGCUCACCAGUUUGGGGCAAACAUCUUGGCAAAUGUCGCAGGCUACGCUAGAAUAAAAUGGUGAAAGUAGCAAAACUACAGUGAAAUAUUACACAUACACUGUCCACAUGAAUCCUUUAGGCCACUGUCACGGACUGAGUAUGACUGACCUACAUUCAAUGUUCUGGUAACCCCUGUUGCGAUCACGUGACUCAGAGCCCAUC